UUCUACGGCCAUGCCAUCCUGAACAAGCCCCAUCUCGUCUGAUCUCAGAAACUAAGCAAGGUCAGGCCUGGUUAGUACUUGGAUGAGAGACCACCUAGGAAGAUCAGGUGCUGUAAGCA
RNAcentral lists this ribosomal RNA (119 nucleotides) under Pteropus alecto (black flying fox). Lineage: Eukaryota; Metazoa; Chordata; Mammalia; Chiroptera; Pteropodidae. The record is from RNAcentral.